AUUGAACGCUGGCGGCAGGCUUAACACAUGCAAGUCGAGCGGGGAAGAGUAGCUUGCUCCUUGACCUAGCGGCGGACGGGUGAGUAAUGCUUAGGAAUCUGCCUAUUAGUGGGGGACAACAUCUCGAAAGGGAUGCUAAUACCGCAUACGUCCUACGGGAGAAAGCAGGGGACCUUCGGGCCUUGCGCUAAUAGAUGAGCCUAAGUCGGAUUAGCUAGUUGGUGGGGUAAAGGCCUACCAAGGCGACGAUCUGUAGCGGGUCUGAGAGGAUGAUCCGCCACACUGGGACUGAGACACGGCCCAGACUCCUACGGGAGGCAGCAGUGGGGAAUAUUGGACAAUGGGGGGAACCCUGAUCCAGCCAUGCCGCGUGUGUGAAGAAGGCCUUUUGGUUGUAAAGCACUUUAAGCGAGGAGGAGGCUACCGAGAUUAAUACUCUUGGAUAGUGGACGUUACUCGCAGAAUAAGCACCGGCUAACUCUGUG
This 485-nucleotide ribosomal RNA is filed under the name uncultured bacterium. RNAcentral describes it as "partial 16S ribosomal RNA". It matches the Rfam family "Bacterial small subunit ribosomal RNA", at positions 30 to 507 of the family's 1533-position model. The record is from RNAcentral.